UACAGAGGGGGCAAGCGUUGUUCGGAAUUACUGGGCGUAAAGGGCGCGUAGGCGGCCUUCUAAGUCGAACGUGAAAUCCCCGGGCUCAACCCGGGAACUGCGUCCGAUACUGGAAGGCUUGAAUCCGGGAGAGGGAUGCGGAAUUCCAGGUGUAGCGGUGAAAUGCGUAGAUAUCUGGAGGAACACCGGUGGCGAAGGCGACAUCCUGGACCGGCAUUGACGCUGAGGCGCGAAAGCCAGGGGAGCAAACGGG
Molecule: ribosomal RNA, 253 nt
Filed under: uncultured bacterium
Lineage: Bacteria
Description: partial 16S ribosomal RNA
Rfam family: Bacterial small subunit ribosomal RNA
Source: RNAcentral